This 423-nucleotide small RNA is filed under the name Pan troglodytes (chimpanzee). RNAcentral's name for it is "retained intron". Lineage: Eukaryota; Metazoa; Chordata; Mammalia; Primates; Hominidae. The record is from RNAcentral.
UGUGUUCAACUUUUGUGGAUGUUUCCACAUGAUUUUCCAAAGUGAAACCCUGUUUUGAGAUCUGGAAUAUUGACUGUCUUUCACUCUCCUUGGACCCUAGGGCUACAGAACUGGCUACCCUUAUCGAUACCCUGCUCUGAGAGAGAAGUCUAAAAAAUACAGCGAUGUGGAGGUUCCUGCUAGUGUCACAGGUUACUCCUUUGCUAGUGACGGUGAUUCGGGCACUUGCUCCCCACUCAGACACAGUUUUCAGAAGCAGCAGCGGGAGAAGACAAGAUGGCUGAACUCUGGCCGGGGCGACGAAGCUUCCGAGGAAGGGCAGAAUGGAAGCAGUCCCAAGUCGAAGACUAAGUGGACUAAAGAGGAUGGACAUAGAACUUCCACCUCUGCUGUCCCUAACCUGUUUGUUCCAUUGAACACUAA